UCAAAGAUUAAGCCAUGCAUGUGUCAGUACAAACUAAACUAAAGUGAAACCGCGAAUGGCUCAUUAAAUCAGCUAUGAUUCAUUGGAUCUGUACACCCAGUUUUCCUUGGAUAACUGUGGUAAUUCUAGAGCUAAUACAUGCAUAUAUAGUCCCUGACCUUACGGGAAGGGCGCUUUUAUUAGUAUCAAAACCGGUCGGGCUUCGGUCUGUAAACCCACCAGUGAUGACUCUGGAUAACUUUAAGCUGAGCGCACGGUCUUUGCACUGGCGCCGCUUCUUUCAAGUGUCUGCCUUAUCAGCUUUCGAUUGUAGGUUAUGCGCCUACAAUGGCUAUAACGGGUAACGGGGAAUCAGGGUUCGAUUCCGGAGAGGGAGCCUGAGAAACGGCUACCACAUCUAAGGAAGGCAGCAGGCACGCAAAUUACCCACUCCCGGCACGGGGAGGUAGUGACGAAAAAUAACGAUGCGAGACUCAUCCGAGGCCUCGCAAUCGGAAUGAGUACACUUUAAAUCCUUUAACGAGGAUCGAUUGGAGGGCAAGUCUGGUGCCAGCAGCCGCGGUAAUUCCAGCUCCAAUAGCGUAUAUUAAAGUUGUUGCGGUUAAAAAGCUCGUAGUUGGAUUUCAGUAUUGGACUGAUGGUUCACCGUCUGGUGUUUAACCUAUCACGCUCCGAAACCAGCUAUCACAACAACUUUGUGUAUGCCCCACUAGCUCACACGGGGUGCUCUUAAUCGAGUGUCCCGAGUGGCUGGUAUGUUUACUUUGAAAAAAUUAGAGUGCUCAGAGCAGGCUAACUGAAUGGCCUGAAUGUCUAUGCAUGGAAUAAUGUAAAAGGACCUCGGUUCUAUUUUGCAGGUUUUCUUUGGAACCCGAGGUAAUGACUAAUAGAGACAGAUGGGGGCAUUAGUACUGCGACGCUAGAGGUGAAAUAAGGAUGUUUUCAUUAAUCAAGAACGAAAGUUAGAGGUUCGAAGGCGAUCAGAUACCGCCCUAGUUCUAACCAUAAACGAUGCUGACCAGCGAUCCGCCGGCGUUAUUCCCAUGACUCGGCGGGCAGCUUCCGGGAAACCAAAGUCUUUGAGUUCCGGGGGAAGUAUGGUUGCAAAGCUGAAACUUAAAGGAAUUGACGGAAGGGCACCACCAGGAGUGGAGCCUGCGGCUUAAUUUGACUCAACACGGGAAACCUCACCAGGCCCAGACACUGGAAGGAUUGACAGAUUGAGAGCUCUUUCUCGAUUCAGUGGGUGGUGGUGCAUGGCCGUUCUUAGUUGGU
Molecule: ribosomal RNA, 1275 nt
Filed under: Curtonida endeavourae
Lineage: Eukaryota; Metazoa; Arthropoda; Malacostraca; Decapoda; Munididae
Description: SSU rRNA
Rfam family: Eukaryotic small subunit ribosomal RNA
Source: RNAcentral